This is a long non-coding RNA of Ooceraea biroi (clonal raider ant), 8019 nucleotides long. RefSeq lists it as uncharacterized. Lineage: Eukaryota; Metazoa; Arthropoda; Insecta; Hymenoptera; Formicidae. The record is from RefSeq and is a predicted model, not a curated record.
AUGGGACACCCUGUAUAUAUAUACACGACGUUCCUAAAACGUUUGGCUAAACUUUGGCGAGGUAUAUUCUGUGCUGAAUCACACACUGCUAACGCACAAUUAUUAAUGUUUGCGAAAAGAACGCGUUCGCGGACCUGUAUUUGCGCGACACCACUGCGUCGAUGCGAUCUAUUGAAUGCGUCGGUACAAUUUCACAUUUCAGGAGCCCUCUGUACAUGUUCAAGCACACAAACACCUAUUGACCCAGUGGAGAAACGGGCACACAUGGAACAGACCUAAGGAGGUCAAAUUACGGCGACAUACACAUCACGUGUAUGUCGAUGGCGGUGGGCGAAUAUGGCGAAUUUGCCGUGGCGCCCCGUUGUUUCCCGUUGUUCCCCGUUUGCCGAUACCGACCCAAUUUCGAUGCGCAACCCCGCAGGUCAGGUCAAGUGUGAUGCUCUUUUGACGUAUUGCACCCCGACUUUCCGCGCGCUGUCCACGCACGUGAAUUAUGAUAGAUCCGUAUAACUGCCGCGUUUUUUUUCCGGCCUCCGUGAUUCGCAGGUAUUUCCAGCAAUUCCGACCGAUCCAAUUGCCCUCGACAAUUCCUGCCAAUCCGCCGCGUCUCGGGCGCGAUGGUUUACCCGAUGUAGGAGCUAUGCGAGUGCAUUGUGCGGCAAGAGCGGUUCUAUCAGAACCUCAAUAAUUGUGGUAGAAUGGCAUCGAUAAGACGUAGCAUUACCGAGACUCCUGCUCCUCGCUGACGACGCGAUAUAGAUAUAUACGCAAUUUCCGCCAUAAAUGCGCGCGACUGAGAGAGAACGGGGAGUCAAUUGCACCCGCUGAUAUUGUCCUCGGUUCUACCUUUUGUAUCUCACGUCGUAUGGAUUAUUCUCGUUGAACAGCGAUUACAUCUUACAAGAUCCGCGAAACGUAUGCGAAUUAAGCGAUCAAAGCGGUAUGCAUUAUAGAAUCAUGCAAGUGCGCGAGCAGAAUAAAUUCUGCCAAGUGAAUUGCACUUAAGACAAGUGGGGCAAAGUAGUUAAUCGCGCGCGUGUGAAUUGUAUUCAAAAUAUACGACAGUGUAAAUUAACAGCUCCGCGCGAACGUUAAUAAUGACUGCGCGUGAGGCAGGCUUAAUCAAUGAACGUAUAAAAAUCUCUCUGCUCGACUUUGCAAAUAGCGAAGGAGCGUAAGGACGCGAAACGUUGUAAAUGGAAUGAGCGCUCGAAAGAGAUUCCCAGCGCUCUCUUCCCUCUACGGGGCUGGUUGAAUGGCUUUUAUCGCCGAAGGGACACGAUCGCGGAAAGGAGGCCAGAGUUUCAUUUAAUAAUUACGAGCAGUUCAACGUACCGCGCGCCCCCGAUACGAGGGAUUUAAUCUACAAUGACGGUCGGUUUAAUUGAAUUGAGCAAUCACGUCGAAGUUAUAAAAUCACGGCUCGUAAUAAUCGCGGCGUAGUCGUAUCGGAACAAGCAUCGCAGGCGGGUUUUAUGCCGUAUUUGGAACGUGGGAUGACUUCUGUUGCUUUUGCGUCACGUGUGAAAUAUUGACGCGUGGCACAGAUCAAAAUUUCAUUCCGCUCUGCGAAGAAUGGAAUUACCAGCUUGCGUUUUGGCAGGCGCGUCGGCCGAGUGAUUAUUGUUAUUGUGCGAAAUCGAAUUGCGCUUAAUCGAGAUUCUGAUUUGCUCGGACGAAGCGGUUAAUUCGUGCGAUUGUCGCGCAACGGUGGAAAUAUUGAUCCACACGAAUAAGAAUUCGAGCGAGCGACGCGAUCGAUCGGCUUAUCCUGUGGAUUGAUUUUACCGCGGAUGGUCUUACGUCCGUAAUUAAAUCCGUUCGAUUUAAUUGAUUCCUUACUUCCUUUCCUUUGGAAUUGAAAAGGGACCAGGAGCUGAUUCAACACUGAUGAAAAUUAAUGGAUGCUAGCUACACGCAAAGCUAACGGGGCUGUUACUCGAGAAUCGCGCGUCCAAUUCAGUGGAAACCAAGAUCAUGCAAGAUUUUGACGGCAUUUACAACGGCAAAGUUACGUCAUAAACUUUUUCGACAGCGAUGCGUUCUUUUUUGCCAUCUAAGAUCAGACGGGAAGUCUUCAGAGGAAAAGUUCGCAGUCGAAGCAUGUGUGCGCGCGCGCGCGCAUGUACAUGCUGUAAGAACGCGAUAGAACUUGGUGAAGAAGUUACGCGGAUCCCCGAACUCGUUAUUCAAUGAAGUAGUCUUUGACGGCGACGAUGGAAGUUUAUGAAAUCGCGCGCACGGUAUACUUUGCGCUUUUCGCGACGACGCAGUCGAUGGACUGGCUCACGAGCUCACUGCGACGCCUCAAGUUUGCGCUUUUUUAACUUCCCGAGAGCACUCUGCGGAUUCAACGGUCCGUGGAGAACAGCGUGGUGCCGCAAUUCUCGAGAUUGUGUAUCGCGUGCUCACGUUCUGUCAAAAACGCAUUUGUUUUUUAAUGUUUUUAAAAAUAUAGGUUGUAACAUACAGUAUAUUAAAAAUACUAAAAAAACAGGACAAAUAUAUAUUAUUGUACAACCUAAUACGUUCUCGCAGAUGUGUCUCAUGAUUUAUAUCAAUUAAGAACAUAGCGGAAUGCGGAUUAAAGAAGUACUGAGAAAUUUCUUUUGCAGACAGAUUUCUUUUGCGGAUUUACCUGCUGACAUGAAAUUGGCAGACGCAAUUACGCAAAGCCUUUAUAAUUCGCAAAUUAUUAGCGGCGUUCAUCUGUUCGUUGGCAUUCUCGCGCUAUAGCACAUCUUAACAGCCAUUUGAAAGCCGUCGUAUCUCGCACCAGCCGCACGGAGAAAUGCGACACCCCUCUGCUCGCAACUUCGCAGAGGAGCGGCUGCGAGUCGGAAAUUAUCGAAAUAUCAAAUGGAACCUGGCGCAAACUGCGAACUCUUCCGAACAAAGAAAGGCUUCCAGGCUUUUGUCGCUUCGCGUCUGCCAGCUUCGAGCUAUGAAAGCCUCUCGCAGCGAAGGCGACGUAAUCCAUUGAAAAUGGAAAAUUGAAUUAUCGACUUUUCACCCCGAUCUCCAAGCCGAGCGCGGACUGUUUUAUUUUAAUAAAUAAUUCAUGCGUGACACAUGACGGUUAAUCGUGCGCUUUAAUCAUUUCCGUGUAACAUUCAUCAAAUAAAAUGAAAAAAAGAGAGGAAGAUGAUUUGCGCUCGAUGUGGUCGCGAAAAUUUCCGGAUUGUACAAAUACGUUCGAAUUUCUACGCGCAAAUAUUUACCUCUCCCGGGCAGAAGGUUUCGCCGUCGACGUUGGGCACUGGCGUUAGGAUCGUCGCGAAUUUUCAGUAAAAACAUAAGGGGUAAUUUGAUGAAAAUUUCGCGCGCGCUUGCCACCCUCCGUUCUCGUAUUUUAUGCAUCGAUCGGCUCGAGCCGAGUGCGUCAGCGUUUGUUUGUUUGCCGAACGCGCGUUCGCGCGAGCGCACAAAGGCGACGGCGGGAGUUUGGGGUGGCCUUUGUGCGCGGCGCAUUUGCGUUUCCUUCACGGAAAUCGGUAGCGUAUGCUCGCCGUGUUUCCGUAAUUCCGCGCGCGCGCGUGUUCGUCGACCGAAUCGCGAACAAAAUCGCGGUAACGGAAGCCCCGUUCCUCUCGAAGCCCGCUUCCCUCGCGUUCGAUCAUGCUCCCGAGUCCGCAAUCGAGCGUGCUUUCUGUCUAUCGCGGGUUCCCGGGCUUGUUCCUGACUACCGUUGACAGUGUCGUACGCGGGUAAGGUUAUUACGGUUAAGGGCUUUAAUCCAGUAGCAAGACUAAGAGCUUUAACCCCUUGACGGGUCGGAAGCCACCCGCCACCGUGCUCGAGCUUGAAGUGCCGCGCGAGGUACCGACCUGUGUUUUGGCCCUCCCAUUUUCUCCGGAUAAUGCGCUCCCCGUACCCGACUGCCGUCGACAUGUAUGCUUUAACUAGCUAAGUAGCGGCGCAUUCUUUACCGAGCCAAAUUGUACAAUUGUCCCCGGAAAAGCCGCGUGCUUCGCGCACAGAGAGAAGCCGGCCAGAUUAUUCCGCAAUUCGUAUUUAACGCCCAGUAUGCGCGCGCGGGCGUGCGCGCUCGGUGGAUUUCCGGUCAACGUAUCGCGGACCGGUAUCUUCCGGCCCUCAACGCCGCAGCGGUGUUUUUGUAUUCAAAUUUAGUCACUUGGAAUAUAAAAAGAAAUCGCGUUGGCUACACGGGCGUGUUAUGCGUUUCGGCAUUUUUUAUGCAAAUUGAAACGUAUGAACGAGAUGAACGAGCGAAAUGGCAACCUCGGUGGAACACCCAGUUUCCCCGGCUUAAGAGGGAGCAAGAGGGGCGCGCGGGUAAUUUGCGAAUUAACAAGCGCGUCGUCAGCCCCAGCGUCCGCUGUAGCUUUUAAUAAAAAUCAGCAGCACACUUUUGCGUCAACGCCGGAACAACGAACGUCGAUCUCUCUCUCUCUCUCUCUCGCUCUCUCUUCCUGUUUUUAAUUGCUCGCCUCUGGGAUCAGCCGCUGGCUGCUGACCUCGUUUUUUUAAAUUUAUUUUUCGUCCUUUACCCUUUUCCCUCUUUCCCUCUCGUGCCCCUCUCUUCUCUUUCUGUCCACAGAAUCUCUGAAUUUGACAGGGGCAGUGUGUCAUCGUCGGACAGUUUACACGGCACCGCCGAAUGGACGGACAUAUACGGGCAUAUACACCCCAUGUAAUAUAACGGAUUACGAUGCGUUACGCGAUGCGAUACGCGAUACCGAUGGUCGCGCCGGGCUGACCGAACGAAAUUACAUGCCUUCCAGAACGAACUUUACGGCCCAUCACCGCGGCACGUGCGUCCAGUAUUUAUUUUAUAUGCAAUGUACGCGCACGCGCUCAAACACAGCCCGAUUUUACGAUUUGGCAGUGCCAAAAAAUUUGUCCUUUAUCAAGCCCACGCCCACGCGCGCGCACUGCCAAGUGACCUCCCUUGAUUUUAAGUUUUCCGUUAUCGCAACUGCGUUUCAAUCAUGAUUCGUUUGGCUUGCGAGGAACGCGGUGGAUUCGUUGUCGAAGCGGCUUUAUGCGAUGAUCAUCUGCAAAUAUCAGAUUAGGAUCAGUUUAAAUUUACAUUUGGGGGUGUCACAUAGUUGGUACUAAAGUUGUAGAAUAAAUAGAGCGAUAUGUAGGUAAGAUAUAAUUUUUCUAACUCCGAAAUUGUAGUUUCCAAUAUUUGCUUGCAAGAUGAGAAAAGAAUUUGAAAUAUCGAUUUAUUCCACAGAAAUGUUACAAAAAUGUUCGAUAAAUAAGUAAAUGAAUAAAAUUUAUAUUCGACUUUACUCUGCAUUAUUUUCUAUUUCACAUUGCGAAAAUAAGCAAGUCAAGCCUUCGUAUUGCAGAAUUAAUUAUUUUCGCUGAUAAAAAUCUACAUAUAUCGUGGUCCAUAUCACAUCCGAUACUGAUCCCAAGAUGCUCCCAAGUGCUCGGAAAAUGUUCUAAAAGUAGCAGGUGCUGAAUAUUACAAAACUAUAUUACACUCGUAUUACUAACGGCCUGAAGUUGUUGCUCUCUCCGAAAGAAAGAGAAAGAAAAUGUAACUUAUUAAAUUAGCUGUUUGACUUUAUUGCAUAUAAUUUUUGUAUAAUUACGUAAUUGUCACGCGAUUUAUUCGUCGGCAAUUUCAUCCAUGAUCGAAAAGCUUCGCGUGUGAAACCGAGAAUCUGAACACUUGGUGGACAUUCAUGAUAACGCCCUAAUUGCACUCGCUUCGAGUAUACUGGCCAAGAAUACGUGAGCGCGCGAGCUCGAUACAAAUGUUAGAACUAAUAACCAACUUCUGCUGCCGCAGAAUAUGUAUCUGCCAGAGUAUAUAGUCUUCCGAAACUAUCCAUGACAGUCGGCCGAAACCACACUGACGGUCUGGAAUUUUGGAGCUAUCUAGGUUCGUUGCUCGGUCGUUGUAGUUGCAGUUGUGCUACGUUUUCGGCACAUAGCGGGAAUUAUUAAAUAUCAACGAUGAUCGAAUUCUGAUGAUGAUCGGGCAUCAAAUUAAGUUUCCAUUUCGCAAAAAUAAGUACGUAUUGCUACGCCAAAUGUCAUUGUCACUUUCCGAAAACAUCCUUAUUAGAGUUUCCUGUUUGACUCUAUGCAACGCGAUUUUACCCAAUUUUCGAAUUAAAAUUUUUAUUUCAGAGAUUAAGAGUGCUACCUAAACGCUUAAUUUAAUUCAAGACGUAAGGUCUCAGUUGAUAAUUUUCACAAAACAUUUCGUUUCGUAAUUUCUUUUUUCUGCUCUCGCCGGACAGACAAAAGAACUUGGACUAGUAAAUGGAUAUCCCUGAAUCUGCCUGGGAUCACUCGUAGCGUCCAUUUGCUGGCUGCCGUGUACCGGCCGUCAUGGGAAAUUUAUACGCGAAUACAUGGGCGAGCGAUAAGACUCAGGGGCGAUGAUUUACAUUCGCAUUCCGUGUUCGAUUGUAGUCGUACGAUCAAAUGGAAAUCGAGUCGCGCACGCGACUGUCGCCGAUGCUCGUGGUCACAGCGCCAAUAACUCGUCGUACGUACGUAGAGCCUGGCUUCGACGCGGGCCUUAGAACCAAUAACGAAGGCCGGAAAGCGCGCGCAAACGAGCGAGCGGGCGGGCGACCUCGCAAAACUGUCCGCGGCAGUUGGCUGACCCGAACAGCGGAUGUAGUUUUGGGAAUCUUCAUUUACGGCUCGCGGCAGCAGUUGAGCUCUCUCCCUUCCCCCACCUUCUCUCUCUCCUCUCCUCUUCGCUGCGGAUCCUCUUUCUCCCUCGUUCCUGUCCUCUCGCAGCAGAACGUCCUGGAAAGCACGGUGGUAGGUGACGGAGGUGGUUGCGCGCGAGGCGGACGAACCGAUGGCGGAGGGGCCGAGGGGGUGCAGGGGAUGGUGAACGGCGCGCAGUCGGGGGGAUAGGUAGUAGGUAGGUCGGAAUCGCGCGCGGCGAGAACCUACAGACGUCAGAGUAAAUGCAAUUACCCUGCACCCUAUGUAGCAAACUAAGUUAAACUUGUGACCGGGGCUUGGCCCAAACUGUUUGCAUUAUGUAUCCGUGGUCCCGGCCUUAUGUGCCACAUGCUGCACGCCCGUUACAGGCGCAUCCUCUUUCUGCCUGCCUUGCCUUGCCUUGCUCUACCUUGCCUUGCCUUGCCUGUUGGCUCACACGUACGCACGUCUACGAAGGUGCCGCCCGUCGUUGUCGUAUAUCGUUUCACGACUGCAGCUUUACGUCGCAUACCGACCUGGUCCUUACUGGUGUGAACGAAUCGCGCGCGAACGCAUUAUCACCGUAUGCGCGUAAGUGUGUACGUGCAUGCACGUAUACGUGCCAAAGAGCGGCAAGUGGCGGAGCACAGAAUUCGAUCGAGAUGUACCGUGCCACGACGAAACUUCAGGAACUCCGCUUCCGAAGCUUGCGCGCGACCGCUAUCAACUUUAGUCAACCGGGAGUCGUCUCACUAACACCGGCGCAGUCCCCUGGUCGUCGUUUUCGUCCUCGUCGUUCUCGUCGUCAUCGUGCGGACAAGAUUUACCACUUAAGCCGAGCUUUCUUCCGUGGGGGAGAAGCCACCGAAAGGGACCGGACAUAAAGGGUGCGCGCGGCCGAUCGAUGGCAAAAGAGAGCCUCGCGGCGUCGCUUUCUCGCAUCUUUUUCACGAGCAGAAGUAUUAAAUCGUGAGAAGAGCACAUGGUGCGCCGGGAUGAGAAGCCGUAGUUUCGCGACGACUUCCGAUCGCCGAGGUGUCGUCAAGUAUGAUUCCCCUCGUGUCGGGAUCGGCGUUUACAUGCUCGUCAUUGCGUGACGCUCGCGGAAACAGCCGUGAUUGCGUUCGCGAAAAGUUCCGCCUGUCUCCGUCUCGAAAAAUUUCGUCGCUCCGCGAAGGAAACAAUAAACGGUGAAGCAAUCGCGGUUCCCUUCAUGCAAACGAACUGAUAAAUUUAGUGCGAGCAAUUUACAUUUUUACACAAUCCUACCCUUAAUAACGUGAAAUUGGGGAGCGGUCGCGUUAAUCUGAUUUUCUGAUUGGAUAUAAUGUAAAUCAAGUACUUCGAAAUUGCAAUUUCACUCGAAAA